Molecule: long non-coding RNA, 751 nt
Filed under: Salmo salar (Atlantic salmon)
Lineage: Eukaryota; Metazoa; Chordata; Actinopteri; Salmoniformes; Salmonidae
Description: lncRNA (ENSSSAG00000106770.1)
Source: RNAcentral
AAGUUAUUGGGGUUGGUUAAUAGGGACUGGUAGCAGCCAGGGACUACAGUUAGGUCUUGGGGGUUGGUUAAUAGGGACGUAGCAGGGACUACAGUUAGGUCUUGGGGGUUGGUUAAUAGGGACUGGUAGCAGCCAGGGACUACAGUUAGGUCUUGGGGGUUGGAUAAUAGGGACUGGUAGCAGCCAGGGACUACAGUUAGGUCUUGGGGGUUGGUUAAUAGGGACUGGUAGCAGCCAGGGACUACAGUUAGGUCUUGGGGGUUGGAUAAUAGGGACUGGUAGCAGCCAGGGACUACAGUUAGGUCUUGGGGGUUGGUUAAUAGGGACUGAUAGCAGCCAGGGACUACAGUUAGGUCUUGGGGGUUGGUUAAUAGGGACUGGUAGCAGCCAGGGACUACAGUUAGGUCUUGGGGGUUGGAUAAUAGGGACUGGUAGCAGCCAGGGACUACAGUUAGGUCUUGGGGGUUGGUUAAUAGGGACUGGUAGCAGCCAGGGACUACAGUUAGGUCUUGGGGGUUGGUUAAUAGGGACUGGUAGCAGCCAGGGACUGCAGUUAGGUCUUGGGGGUUGGUUAAUAGGGACUGGUAGCAGCCAGGGACUACAGUUAGGUCUUGGGGGUUGGUUAAUAGGGACUGGUAGCAGCCAGGGACUACAGUUAGGUCUUGGGGGUUGGUUAAUAGGGACUGGUAGCAGCCAGGGACUACAGUUAGGUCUUGGGGGUUGGUUAAUAGGGACUGGCAGCAGCCAGGGA